UACAGAGGUCCCAAGCGUUGUUCGGAUUCACUGGGCGUAAAGGGCGCGUAGGCGGCGCGGGGAGUCAACGGUGAAAGCUCGGCGCUCAACGCCGAGUCGGCCGUCGAUACUCCCGUGCUCGAGCACUGUAGAGGCAGGUGGAAUUCCGGGUGUAGCGGUGGAAUGCGUAGAGAUCCGGAAGAACACCGGUGGCGAAAGCGGCUCACUGGACCACAACUGACGCUGAGGCGCGAAAGCUAGGGGAGCAAACAGG
Molecule: ribosomal RNA, 253 nt
Filed under: uncultured bacterium
Lineage: Bacteria
Description: partial 16S ribosomal RNA
Rfam family: Bacterial small subunit ribosomal RNA
Source: RNAcentral